RNAcentral lists this ribosomal RNA (503 nucleotides) under uncultured bacterium. RNAcentral describes it as "partial 16S ribosomal RNA". It matches the Rfam family "Bacterial small subunit ribosomal RNA", at positions 30 to 523 of the family's 1533-position model. The record is from RNAcentral.
AUUGAACGCUGGCGGCAGGCUUAACACAUGCAAGUCGAGCGGAGUGAUGGUGCUUGCACUAUCACUUAGCGGCGGACGGGUGAGUAAUGCUUAGGAAUCUGCCUAAUAGUGGGGGACAACAUCUCGAAAGGGAUGCUAAUACCGCAUACGUCCUACGGGAGAAAGCAGGGGAUCACUUGUGACCUUGCGCUAAUAGAUGAGCCUAAGUCGGAUUAGUUAGUUGGUGGGGUAAAGGCCUACCAAGGCGACGAUCUGUAGCGGGUCUGAGAGGAUGAUCCGCCACACUGGGACUGAGACACGGCCCAGACUCCUACGGGAGGCAGCAGUGGGGAAUAUUGGACAAUGGGGGGAACCCUGAUCCAGCCAUGCCGCGUGUGUGAAGAAGGCCUUACGGUUGUAAAGCACUUUAAGCGAGGAGGAGGCUCUUUUGGUUAAUACCCAAGAUGAGUGGACGUUACUCGCAGAAUAAGCACCGGCUAACUCUGUGCCAGCCGCCGCCGUAA